Molecule: long non-coding RNA, 220 nt
Organism: Fukomys damarensis (Damara mole-rat)
Lineage: Eukaryota; Metazoa; Chordata; Mammalia; Rodentia; Bathyergidae
Exons: 3
Source: RefSeq, a predicted model, not a curated record
UAAAGGAGACAGGAGGGUCCUUUCUUGGUAGAUGGCGGUGCUCAUGGCCAGCUGCUUGGGAAGAGUCAAAUUGACCUGACCUACGUUACAAGGAUUGAGCUCCAGUCAUGAAGGAACCAGGAAGAAUUGAGAAGAACUGAGUGGAUGGAUUUCAGCAGAUCCCUCAGCAGCUGCUUGGCACAGAGGGAAAGAAAAUGUCAGUGCUGCCGCUCCUGCUGCU